GACGAACGCUGGCGGCGUGCCUAAUACAUGCAAGUUGAGCGCUGAAGGUUGGUACUUGUACCGACUGGAUGAGCAGCGAACGGGUGAGUAACGCGUGGGGAAUCUGCCUUUGAGCGGGGGACAACAUUUGGAAACGAAUGCUAAUACCGCAUAAAAACUUUAAACACAAGUUUUAAGUUUGAAAGAUGCAAUUGCAUCACUCAAAGAUGAUCCCGCGUUGUAUUAGCUAGUUGGUGAGGUAAAGGCUCACCAAGGCGAUGAUACAUAGCCGACCUGAGAGGGUGAUCGGUCACAUUGGGACUGAGACACGGCCCAAACUCCUACGGGAGGCAGCAGUAGGGAAUCUUCGGCAAUGGACGAAAGUCUGACCGAGCAACGCCGCGUGAGUGAAGAAGGUUUUCGGAUCGUAAAACUCUGUUGGUAGAGAAGAACGUUGGUGAGAGUGGAAAGCUCAUCAAGUGACGGUAACUACCCAGAAAGGGACGGCUAACUACGUG
Molecule: ribosomal RNA, 497 nt
Filed under: uncultured bacterium
Lineage: Bacteria
Description: partial 16S ribosomal RNA
Rfam family: Bacterial small subunit ribosomal RNA
Source: RNAcentral